GCCGGGAUGGCGGAAUUGGCAGACGCAGCAGACUUAAAAUCUGCCGAGGAAUUUCCUUGUGUGGGUUCGAGUCCCACUCCCGGCACCA
Molecule: transfer RNA, 88 nt
Filed under: Chloroflexota bacterium
Lineage: Bacteria; Bacillati; Chloroflexota
Also listed under: 1 other name
Description: tRNA-Leu
Rfam family: tRNA
About the family: Transfer RNA (tRNA) molecules are approximately 80 nucleotides in length. Their secondary structure includes four short double-helical elements and three loops (D, anti-codon, and T loops).
Source: RNAcentral